ACGAAACUUGCCCCGAGAUGAGUUCUCCCUGAGACUACAAGUCUCCUGAAGGAACGUUGAAGACGACGACGUUGAUAGGCCGGGUGUGUAAGCGCAGCGAUGCGUUGAGCUAACCGGUACUAAUGAACCGUGAGGCUUAACCUUACAACGCCGAAG
This 156-nucleotide ribosomal RNA is filed under the name Salmonella enterica subsp. arizonae serovar 56:z4,z23:-. Its description in RNAcentral is "partial 23S ribosomal RNA". It matches the Rfam family "Bacterial large subunit ribosomal RNA", at positions 2787 to 2925 of the family's 2925-position model. Lineage: Bacteria; Pseudomonadati; Pseudomonadota; Gammaproteobacteria; Enterobacterales; Enterobacteriaceae. The record is from RNAcentral.